UGAAAAGAUGCAGCUAGGCGAUUUUAAAAGG
Molecule: non-coding RNA, 31 nt
Filed under: Mus musculus (house mouse)
Lineage: Eukaryota; Metazoa; Chordata; Mammalia; Rodentia; Muridae
Source: RNAcentral